UACGUAGGGUGCAAGCGUUGUCCGGAAUUAUUGGGCGUAAAGAGCUCGUAGGCGGUUUGUCGCGUCUGCUGUGAAAACUCGGGGCUCAACUCCGGGCCUGCAGUGGGUACGGGCAGACUAGAGUGCGGUAGGGGAGACUGGAAUUCCUGGUGUAGCGGUGAAAUGCGCAGAUAUCAGGAGGAACACCGGUGGCGAAGGCGGGUCUCUGGGCCGAUUCUGACACUGAGGAGCGAAAGCGUGGGGAGCGAACAGG
RNAcentral lists this ribosomal RNA (253 nucleotides) under uncultured bacterium. Its description in RNAcentral is "partial 16S ribosomal RNA". It matches the Rfam family "Bacterial small subunit ribosomal RNA", at positions 524 to 776 of the family's 1533-position model. The record is from RNAcentral.